AUUUAGAACAGGAGACAGCAGGUAGCUGUGUGUGGGCAGGAAGGUGAGGAGAGAGGAGCCGGUCUGCGUGGUCUAACUGGUGUUGAUGUGAAGCUUGGCACUAAUGACUGAGGAUUUCCUUGGAUACUCUUGCUCUUCUCUGUGUAGAUUGGAGAGUUUGGCAGAGGUCAGAGGUCAGAGAAGCGAGAAGAUGCACCAGGAAUGAGGGGAGCAGAGCACCACAGACGCCCCACGUUUCCAGGUGCCGUUGACCUGGAGCGAUGGCAAAAAAUAACUUGUGAAGAAAAUGAACGUGUCUAACUUGGAAUGGCAAGGAUUCACCCCACGCCAAACAAAUGGAAGCAUCAUCAGCGUCACUGUCAUCGUCGGCGUCCAGCAGACUUGUCUCCAGACGGUGAGGGAGGGAGGUCGUGUGCGUCACCAGCAGGCCAGGAAGAACGAGUCACCACGGACAGUGGGAACACCAGGUGCUCCAGAGAGGAAUCUGAGACACGAGACGGCGAGGUGAUGUAAGGACAAGCGGGGGCUUCAGCUCUGGAGACGCCUGCAUUUGAAGUUCAGCCCUAGUGCCAUGUGUUUCCUUUUGUAAUUGUCAUUCAUGCUCCGAACCGAC
Molecule: long non-coding RNA, 613 nt
Filed under: Equus caballus (horse)
Lineage: Eukaryota; Metazoa; Chordata; Mammalia; Perissodactyla; Equidae
Description: lncRNA (ENSECAG00000029746.3)
Source: RNAcentral